UUUCAAAAUACAUUGUCUUGCUUUUAAUAGCCUCCCUGAUCCACUCUUGGAGGUUCUCAUGACUGACUGUUCCCAAAAUAAUACCCAGAGCAGCUUUUUCCAACUCUGAAGUGCUGAAUCUUGCUACCUCCCAAUCAGCCACUGGCUGCCAUUGAGCCCUGGUAAUCCCAGGGUCCCCCAAACCGAAUGUGACCCAACAGGGAGGUUUCCAAGGCAUUUGGAGAGAUCCCCAGACGGUCCCUGCCAGCUCACCGAACUGCUGACAGCAAGUUUCCAGGGAAAGCCGGCCCCUCCAUGGGGCUCCCUCCUCUGCUCCAAGACUGCUGAACCAGGAUGGGACAAGAGGCCAAUGGCAGCCCUCGGGAUGCCCCGGGCCCUCAGAGAAGGGGAAGGUUUUCCUAGAAGCUGGAGAGCUGAUGUGAAGCAAGAGGGAACUGGUUCGGCUUGCCUUUCUCCUUCGAUGAGAAAAGAAGUCAAAUAACUUGCCCUAGAUCACAUGGUGGAAGAACCCAGAAUCGAACCCUUAAAGAGACAGGACGUACUCUCCACUUCUGCUUCCUGCACAAAUGGGGACUGGAUGCUACGAGCUCAGACAGCCAUUCAGGACCAUUUUAGAAACUGUGUUAAUGCAGACAGAGCUGCUAGACAGAAGGUCCCUAAGGAUUCUUCGUACGAAGACAUCAAGUACAGAAACACUGAGUGACAUGAUCAGAAGUGCACUUCAGAAAGAUGGCCACAGGUGAAAUAAAGAGUCGGGCUCCAGAGCCAGUUGGCCUGGGUACAAAUCCCGGCUCUGUCUCUCCCGAACUUUGUGACCAUAGGCAAAUCACUUAACCUCUCUGUACUUCAGUUUCUUCAUCUGCAAAAUGGGGGUAAUACUACCCAACGGGAGAGCUGUUGUGAGGAGUUAGCACAUCUAAGGGUGUUUAAAAUAGCACCUGGUACAUAUUAGGGAGCCUGAGGUUCCAGGAGUGCGCCUGUAGGAGGACACUGCUUACCUGGGGCCUUUGAUCUUGAUGAAGAGCUAGAAAAGGACACUGGACCCUCCCUCUCCCAGUAGGCACUGGCAGGUACCUGGGAGACUAGAAGAUGUCCAGAGGCAGCACCAAGCCUUCACUCGCAAUCAGAGGAAAUGGGCCACGAGAGAGAAGACCUGGAUGGGGCACUAACCACAAAUCGAGCCACGAGGCCCUGGGCACUGUAUCUAGAGUGGGGUGUGGCCCAGGCCACAGGGCAGAGAGCCCCCUUGGCACAGUCCAGCCCAGAAGCCAUGCUGGGGGGCCUCAUGCGGAAAUGGGCAGGGGCCCUGCUGGGAGAAGCAUGCGCCCCCUGCCCCCCAUGGCUGGUUCCCCAGGAGAUAAGAAGCCCAAGCUUCCUGAGGAUAUGCUCUGGACCUUCCCGCCAGCUCCUCUGGGCUUGUCAAAAUAUUUCUGUGUAGAGCCAUCCCUGUUUUUCCAUUAAUAAAAGUAUUUUUGGGCUCCCGGCAACAAUGAGUGAGUGUUACAAAAGAGGCCGGGCCUUCCAAGGUAAACACAGCUUGCCCCGGCCUGGGCUGGUGGCUCUGGGCUGCCGAGCAGGGGAGCGCCUGUUCUCAUUCAGGGGCUGCCUGCAUGAUCUCGUGGGCUCUCAGCCACGGUCUGGGCCAGGGAGAGCUGGCUCUGCAGCUUUGCACCUCUCUGGGGAAAAGAGAGUCUCACAGUAGAGCAGAGGAAUGGUGCCACUGCUGUUCAGGAUCCCUUGGGCUUUUCUGGUGCCAGUCAUGCUGCAUCCAUCCAUCCUUCCCUCCAGUUGGUCAGUCAGUCAGUCAACACACAUUUAUUGAGGUCCUGCUCUGGGCCCAGCACUUGUCUCUGGCCUAGAAGAGUGAGGCUCUGUGGGUCAACAGAUGUGGAAGCAGGUGGAUCCACAGGGGCUGUGGCAGGUAUCUCCCCAGGGAGGUCAUGGUAGAUAUCUGUCCCCAGGAGGGGACAGAUGGGAGAGGGUGAAGACUGUCGGCUCUGGGUUCUAAUUCUGCUCCACCACUUUCUGACCAUGGACCUUGGGCAAGUGACUCAACCUUCCAGGGAGUCAGUUUUCUCAUCUGCAAAGUGGAGACAGUAGGAAGUCAAUACAAGGAAUAUGAUUAGAAGAGAACAGUGCACAUUGCGCAAGUGUUUGCUAUAAAAUAAUUGUGAAAGCAGUCAAUAUUUGUGAAAUGAAAAAAUAAAUGGAUGGAGGGAGUCACUGUGUCAGGGACUGUAUUAGCAACCUAUUGCUCAGUCACCCCAGAACUUAGUGUCUUAAGACAACAAUACACAUUUAUAAUCUCACACAGCUUCAGUGAGUGAGAAACCGAAAAGUAGCUUGGCGGCGGGUGGGGGGGAGGGGCGUCAGGGUCUUUAACUGCACUGAAGUCGGCUUGCUGGGCAGGGCUGCACCAUCUGAAGGCUUGACUGGGGCUGGGGGCGUCCACUCCAAGGUGGCAUCCUCCCAUGGCUGGCAUGUGGGUGCUGCGUGGCAGGGGGAGGUCUCGGUUCCUUCCCGUGGGCCUCUCCUCAAGGCUGCUUGAGCGUCCUCACGACAUGGUAGCUGGCUUCCAUCAGUGAAUGAAUGAAGAGAAAGAGAACCAGGCAGAACCACAGGCCAUGACCAGUCACAAAAGCCACAUCUGGUACUUCCCACCACAUCCUGUUCCUUGAUGUGACUUGCUCAGUCUAGCCCACAUUCACAUGGAAUUAGGCCCAGCCUGGCUUUCUGAAGGGCAGCGUGUCAGAGAGCUCACAGAUAACGGUUAAAGUCAUGACAGUGACCAAAUAGAUUCUUUAAAGAGACCAGAAGGCCCCCAAAUACUACCUCCCCCAGACCAAAAGAGACCAUUGCAGGAGUCCAUUUAUUUGAAUGCUGGAACAUUCCAAACUAAUCUCAUCCAAGCAAUGAGACCAACAGGUGGCUGGGUAGCAGAGGAGGGGUCAACUGCAAAACGCAGUGGAGAUGUUCUAUAUUGACUGGGGUGAUGGUCAAAAUCAAGUGAAUUAUAUACUUAAAAUGUGCAUUUCAUAAAGUGUAAAUUUAAUUUAGCAAAGUUGACUUUAAAAAAUACCAGCUUCCUGAUUCAGGAUACUAACCGUUCCUACAAUUUCUUUGGUCCAGGUCCAGUGGUGGACACACUAGCACCAUAUUGGCCCAAUGUCUGUUUUUAUAAAUAAAGUUUUAUUGGAACACAGCCAUGAA
Long non-coding RNA from Manis pentadactyla (Chinese pangolin), 3210 nucleotides. RefSeq lists it as uncharacterized. Lineage: Eukaryota; Metazoa; Chordata; Mammalia; Pholidota; Manidae. The record is from RefSeq and is a predicted model, not a curated record. The transcript has 3 exons.